UAGUGAUUGCAUCAGCUGCUCUCCUAAUAACACUAUUGACUGCUUGAGAAUUACCACUACUCUUGCGUCUCUUCAACAAGCCUACAAGAUGGACUAGAGCUCCAGCAUCUACUAUAAGUUGUUGAUGCUCAGGUUUCACAGCGAGAAGUCCAAGCGCGAAAGCACUUCGUUUCUCCACCUCAUGCUCGUAUGUUUUUGGACUACUUUCACCUCUCAAAGGCG
Molecule: unclassified non-coding RNA, 222 nt
Filed under: Hevea brasiliensis (rubber tree)
Lineage: Eukaryota; Viridiplantae; Streptophyta; Magnoliopsida; Malpighiales; Euphorbiaceae
Source: RNAcentral